This is a microRNA precursor of Ursus americanus (American black bear), 56 nucleotides long. NCBI's taxonomy places the organism in Eukaryota, Metazoa, Chordata, Mammalia, Carnivora, Ursidae. The record is from Ensembl.
UGGGUCUUUGCGGGCGAGAUGAGGGUGUCGAUUCAACUGGCCUACAAAGUCCCAGU